Regulatory RNA element from Lucilia cuprina (Australian sheep blowfly), 131 nucleotides. It matches the Rfam family "Phenylalanine leader peptide". The record is from Rfam. Lineage: Eukaryota; Metazoa; Arthropoda; Insecta; Diptera; Calliphoridae.
CUUUUAAUGAACAACGUUAUUUUUCGUUUCUUUUUUUACUUUAGCACCUGAAUCUCGGGGGCUUUUGCGUAUAGCGAGUAGAAUAGAAACGAAAAGUUACGCUAAAGCCUCCGUCAGGAGGCUUUUUUGUU